GAGAUUAUCCACUGAGUAGUGGAGGAAUGAAAACAUAUCAAGAUUGCCCUAAUAACAACAAAUGAAUAAGGAAGAGCCCAACUUAAGAAUCAGGCAUCCUCAGCAUCCAAAUUGUAGUUUGGAGAAGCAUCCUUAGUGGUGGACUGAGCCCAAGUCCAUAAAAAGGGGUGUCAGAAAGGGUAAGAGCCCCAUUAUGCUUGGACCCUGUUGCACCAUGAUGGGCUAUCUAUGAGUCAGAUUAUUUGGCAAUACAACACCAAUGGAGUGGUAAAUUCCAUCCAAGGCUGAAUACAGGCGAGAGAUUAAUAGCAAACAAGAUGAAAAGACUUUGAAAAAAAAGUUAAAGAGUGCUUAACAUUGUCAGGAAGGAAGUGAAUGGGGGCCGACGAUGCACUUUGGUUAGAUGUGGAAUUAUGAAAGUUGGUACAUCAAUCGACUCAAGGCAUGGACUGACAUGGAUUGCAAUGAUGGCCUAAGCCUAGGCUUUCAAUAUGCCAACGAAGACGUCAUCGCUAUGAUCAUGGAACACAGUAUGUGCUAUCUUGACAUGCCUUGGCACCCACGUGCUCUUGAUGUCAGCCUAUAGGCUCUUUAUCUAGCUCAUCUCGAAAUAUAGACCAAAAAGUCUAACAUGUGUUCUAUUCAAUAGGCUAGAAAAACCAUAAGGCAUAAUGAAGCUGAUUGGUGGGAUCUCUCAUAAGUGCACCACCAACCAAAUCUUUUGAGAAGGGUUUGAGUGUGAGCAUGCUUGUCGAGACCUAAAAGAUGGUGAACUAUGCCUGAGCUAGGCGAAGCCAAAAGAAAACUCUGGUGGAGGCCUAUAGUGAUACUGACAUGCAAAUUAUUCAUCUAACUUGUGUAUAGGGAUGGAAGACUAAUCUAAUCAUCUAGUAGCUGGUUUUCUUUAAAGUUUCCCUUAAAAUAGCUAGAGCCCUUAGCCAGUUCUAUCAAGUUAUGCCAAUGAUUAAAGGCAUCUACGGCAUAAUGCUCUUGACCUAUUCUCAAACUUUAAAGAGGUAGGAUGGUGUGACUGCUUCAUUGAGUUAUGCCAUGGAAUCGAGAGCUCUAAGUAGGCCAUUUUGUGUAAGUAGAACUAGUUAUGUAGGAUGAUCUAGAAGCUGUGUUAUAGUGCCUAACUGUGCGCUAACCUAGAACCCACAAAAGGGUGUUGGUUGAUUAAGACAGUAAGACAGUGAUCAUGGAAGUCAAAAUCAACUAAAAAGUGUUUAACAACUCACUUGCCAAAUCAACUAGCCUUGAAAAUGGAUGGUGCUUAAACACACGACCUAUACUCGAUUGUCAGGGCAAGGGCAUGGCCUCGAUAAGUAGGAGGGUACCACAAUUGCUGCAAAACUCGAGCAUGAGCCUAGGCGAAGUGGUCAUUAGUUCAAAUCUUGGUGGUAGUAGCAAAUAUUCAAAUGAGAACUUUGAAGGCCAAAGAGGGGAAAAGUUCCAUGUGAAUGGCACUUACACAUGGAUUAGUUGAUCUUUAGAGACGGGGGAAGCCCGUCUAAUAGCGCAUCCAAUGCGAGCUUCGAAAAAGAAUUAGGUUAAAAUUCUUGAAUUGGGAUGUGACGGUUGAUAGCAAUGUUAAGGAGUCUGGAGAAAUUGGUAGAGGCCUCAAGAAGAGUUAUCUUUUCUAUUUAAUAACCUACCCGCAUUGGAAAUAGCUCAGAUGGAGGUAAGGUCCAGUGGCCAAAAGAGCACUGCAUGUCAUGUAGUGCCUUGUGUGCAUUUAGUGGCCUUUGAAAUCCAAAGGACCAAGUAUCAUCCAUGCCUAAUCAUACAUAUAACUGCAUCAGGUCUCCAAGGUGAAUAGCCUCUAGUCAAUGGAAUAAUGUAGGUGAAGGAAGUUGACAAAAUGGAUUUGUAAUCUCGAGAAAAAAUUGGCUUUGAGGGCUGGGCACAGGGGUUCUAGUCCUAAACCCAUCAACUAUCAAUGCACUGUUUGAGCUACUCCUGCGAUGAGAGUGGGACACCAUGUGCCGACCAAGGGAUAGGUGGGAAUGGUUCCUUCGAGGGCCUUCCUUAGGUGAUGAACAGUCAACUCAGAAUAAUACAGACAAGGGGUAUAUAACUAUUUAAUUAAAACAAAGCAUUGUAAUGGUCCCUAUGAAUGCUUAUGUAAUGUGAUUUUUUCCCAAUGCUCUAAAUGUCAAAGUGAAGAAAUUCAACCGAGCACGGAUAAAUGGCGAGAGUAACUAUGACUAUUUCAAAGUAGCUAAAUGCCUCAUCAUCUAACUAGUGAUGCACAUGAAUGGAUUAAUAAGAUUCUUAUUAUCCCCGUCUAUUAUCUAGUGAAACCACAACCAAGGGAACGGGCUUGGUAGAAUCAGCAGGGAAAAAAGACCUUGUUGAGCUCGACUCUAUUCCAACUUUGUGAAAUGACUUGAGAGGUGCAGGAUAAGUGGGAGCCCUUUGGUAAAAUUGAAAUACCAUUAUUUUUUAAUGUUAUUUUACUUAUUCUAUGAAUUGAAAAUUGGGCAUAACCUAUUCUUUUGGACCCAAGGUCAGCCUUGGUUGGUUGAUCCUGGUGGAAGACUUUGUUAAGUGGGGAGAUUGGUAAGGACAACACAUCUGUUAAAAGAUAAUACAAGUGUCUUAAGAUGAGUUUGAUGAGAAUAAGAAUCUCGUGUGGAAGAAAAAGGUAAAAGCUCAUUUGAUUUUGAUUUCCAGUAUGAAUAUGAACUAUGAAAGCAUGGACUAUCAAUCCUUCAGACCUUUAAAAUUUGAAGCUAUAUGUGUCAAAAAAGUUGCCACAGGGAUAAUUGGCUUGUGGCAGCCAAGCGUUCAUAGCAAUGUUACUUUUUGAUCCUUCGAUGUUAGCUUUUCCUAUCAUUUGAAGUAAAAUUCACUAAGUGUUAUAUUGUUCAACCACCAAUAGGAGCAUGAGCUGGGUUUAAAUAAUCAUAAAAUAAGUUAGUUUUACCCUACUAACCUAGUACAAAAGGAACCAUUGAUUCACAUAGUUCAUCAUUAUGCUUGGUUGAAAAGCUAGUGGUGUGAAGCUACCAUUCAUUGGAUUAUGACUAAAUGCCUUUAAGUUAGAAUUUGGGCUAAAAAUGAUGCAUGCACCUAUUGCCCUAUUAUUGACUUACAAUAAGGGCCCAUGGCCCUUAAGGGCAUAUUUUAUAGGUGUUGCCCUUAUGGCAGACAAGUCAUGCAGGCAUUCUUUGAGCUUAAUUCCUACUAAG
This 3194-nucleotide ribosomal RNA is filed under the name Durio zibethinus. RNAcentral's name for it is "eukaryotic LSU rRNA". It matches the Rfam family "Eukaryotic large subunit ribosomal RNA". The record is from RNAcentral. Lineage: Eukaryota; Viridiplantae; Streptophyta; Magnoliopsida; Malvales; Malvaceae.